UACGGAGGAUGAAAGCGUUAUCCGGAAUUAUUGGGCGUAAAGCGUCCGCAGGUGGCUCAUCAAGUCUGCUGUCAAAGGCAGGGGCUUAACCCCUGAAAGGCAGUGGAAACUGGGGAGCUAGAGUGCAGUAGGGGUAGAGGGAAUUCCCGGUGUAGCGGUGAAAUGCGUAGAGAUCGGGAAGAACAUCGGUGGCGAAAGCGCUCUGCUGGACUGCAACUGACACUAAAGGACGAAAGCUAGGGGAGCGAAUGGG
This 253-nucleotide ribosomal RNA is filed under the name uncultured bacterium. RNAcentral's name for it is "partial 16S ribosomal RNA". It matches the Rfam family "Bacterial small subunit ribosomal RNA", at positions 524 to 776 of the family's 1533-position model. The record is from RNAcentral.